This is a non-coding RNA of Lolium perenne, 755 nucleotides long. The record is from RefSeq and is a predicted model, not a curated record. NCBI's taxonomy places the organism in Eukaryota, Viridiplantae, Streptophyta, Magnoliopsida, Poales, Poaceae.
CUACCCUUUUAAAGUUCAACUCCCCUCGCAGGGGCGCUACCCUUUGGAAUAUGUUAAGUCCCGUGGGCCGUCCCCAUCCCCUCCACCUACCACUUACCCCUCACACCCCGACCUGGAAGAAGCUAGGGCGCGUCCCCAUCUCUCCCCCCUCUCAAAUCCUUUCCCAAAAUCCCCUAGAUCUGAAGAUUUCUUUGGUGGAUUUUGGUCUCCAUCCCUCCCUUAGGUAUGACGUCGUCCGAUCCGAAGGAGAACCCGAGGAAGUGGAAGCACACUGCUGACCUUUGGCCAUACAAUUUUCCCGAAGGGACGGAACAAGCUCGUUGUUGGUGCAGUGACCUUUGUGUCUCCAAGCGAUGUGAUGAUUGGGAUGACAAACAGGGAAGGAGGUUUUGGAUGUGUCCUAACUAUGCACAUGACAAGGCCAAGCCAAGAAACCCAUACGACUACCCACCGUCUCCUCCACCUCUUUGUCAAUUAGUGAAGUGGAUAGAUUUGGAGCAAUCAACUUCUCACAAGGAAGAGGUUGCAUAUGAGGAGGGAAGGAAGUGGAACUAUAUGUUUAAUUUGAUUCGUGAGGAGGAGCGGGAGAAAAAGAUGAAGAUUAGGUUUGAGAAACAACGUUUGGAGAAAGAGAAGAAGGAGCAAGAAGAGAAGGACCUCCGUGAGGCAGAACGGGAGAAAAAGAGAGAGAGGGCUCGUCGUGCAAGGGAGGAUGCGGAAGCGCAAGAAGAUGCAACCAAACGGAAGGGAAAAUA